GAUAUCAGAACUGUGGGGACACAGAGGGAAAGCACAGGCGCGGAAUGGAAAGCCGCGUGCAAGCGAGGUACCGGACUGGUAGGAAAAACCGCCAGCCAACGGGAAGACGUGAUGCGGACCGAAAUUUAGUAGGGAAGUGUGUGAGCCAGCUGUCAAGAAAAGCCGCUAUUGUGUAUACAGUACCCGUACCGUAAACCGACACAGGUGGAUGAGGAGAGAAUCCUAAGGCCGGCGGAAGAAGUAUUGUCAAGGAACUCGGCAAAAUGACCCUGUAACUUCGGGAGAAAGGGUGCCUCGAAAGAGGCCGCAGAGAAUUGGCCCAAGCAACUGUUUAGCAAAAACACAGGUCUAUGCGAAACCGAAAGGUGAGGUAUAUGGGCUGACGCCUGCCCGGUGCUGGAAGGUUAAGGGGAGAUGUUAGAGCAAUCGAAGCAUCGAACUUAAGCCCCAGUAAACGGCGGCCGUAACGAUAACGGUCCUAAGGUAGCGAAAUUCCUUGUCGGGUAAGUUCCGACCCGCACGAAAGGCGUAAUGAUUUGGGCGCUGUCUCGACAAUACAUCCGGUGAAAUUGAAGUACCAGUGAAGAUGCUGGUUACCCGCGCCAGGACGGAAAGACCCCAUGGAGCUUUACUCCAGCUUGAUACUGGGAUUCGGUAUUGCAUGUACAGGAUAGGUGGGAGGCUAAGAAGCAUGGACGCCAGUCUAUGUGGAGCCGCUGUUGGGAUACCACCCUUGCGGUAUUGGAUUUCUAACCAGCCGCCGUGAAACCGGCGGUGGGACAAUGUCAGGCGGGGAGUUUGACUGGGGCGGUCGCCUCCGAAAGGGUAUCGGAGGCGCCCAAAGGUUCCCUCAGAAUGGUUGGAAACCAUUCGAAGAGUGCAAAGGCAGAAGGGGGCUUGACUGUGACACCGACGGGUGGAGCAGGUACGAAAGUAGGGCUUAGUGAUCCGGUGGUAUUAAGUGGGAAUGCCAUCGCUCAACUGAUAAAAGCUACCCUGGGAUAACAGGCUUAUCACUCCCAAGAGUUCACAUCGACGGAGUGGUUUGGCACCUCGAUGUCGGCUCAUCGCAUCCUGGGGCUGUAGUAGGUCCCAAGGGUUGGGCUGUUCGCCCAUUAAAGCGGUACGCGAGCUGGGAUCAGAACGUCGUGAGACAGUUCGGUCCCUAUCCGGCGUGGGCGCAGGAUAUUUGAGAGGAGCUGUCCUUAGUACGAGAGGACCGGGAUGGACUGACCUCUGGUGCACCGGUUGUUCCGCCAGGAGCAUAGCCGGGUAGCCAAGUCGGGAAGGGAUAAACGCUGAAGGCAUCUAAGCGUGAAGCCCCCCUCAAGAUGAGAUAUCCCAUGCGAAAGCGAUAAGACCCCUUGAAGACGACGAGGUAGAUAGGUCAGAGGUGGAAGUGCAGUAAUGCAUGGAGCUGACUGAUACUAAUAGGUCGAAGGCUUAACCG
Molecule: ribosomal RNA, 1450 nt
Filed under: metagenome
Description: bacterial LSU rRNA
Rfam family: Bacterial large subunit ribosomal RNA
Source: RNAcentral